RNAcentral lists this long non-coding RNA (245 nucleotides) under Mytilus galloprovincialis (Mediterranean mussel). The record is from RNAcentral. Lineage: Eukaryota; Metazoa; Mollusca; Bivalvia; Mytilida; Mytilidae.
AUUGUUUUGAAUAAACUUUGAACGACAAAAUUUCUUCCUAUGUGACGUUUACAUUUUCUGACGUCAGACACGCGAAGCAAUAAAUGAGUUUUUUAAUUUGAUAGAUGCUUUUGUGCUUUUUUGUAAAUGAUUGUUUGUUUUGAGAUUGAAAGACAGUGAUGACUGUUGUACCCAUAUUUUGACUUUUAUUUAUUAUGUCUGUUUUGUUCACGCAUGGUUGUAAAUAUAAUGUAAUUUGAUGCGAC